AGUGCAUAAUCAGCUCAUAUAUAUGUAUAUAUAACAAUAAAUGGACUUCUCAGAAAAUUUUCUUCACAACAUGAAUAUUGGUGAAUAUAAGUAACUGAAAUAUAAACUUUAAAUCAAUCUUGUCCAAUAUAUUUUGAGAUACUAUCUAUCCUAUAUUACAUCAAAAAACUGAAAUUUAUCCAGUACUAAUGAUGUGAUAAUAGGCAAGAUGGUUUAGAAUUUUGGAAACUGACUACAGUAUUACCAUACCAUGCUAAGGUGGCAAAUUACUUGGCAAUAGGAGAGUGACACUGAAAUAUUCCAAUGCAUUACAUUAAAUUGACUCAUGACACAAAAAUAUACCUGCUCAGUAAUCCAAAAUCCAGGAAUGCCAAAAGACUCGAGCAGAUCAGAA
Molecule: long non-coding RNA, 394 nt
Filed under: Vitis vinifera (wine grape)
Lineage: Eukaryota; Viridiplantae; Streptophyta; Magnoliopsida; Vitales; Vitaceae
Description: long non-coding RNA (VVIN_LNC006512)
Source: RNAcentral